RNAcentral lists this ribosomal RNA (1369 nucleotides) under Vibrio sp. 2127. RNAcentral describes it as "bacterial SSU rRNA". It matches the Rfam family "Bacterial small subunit ribosomal RNA", at positions 65 to 1427 of the family's 1533-position model. Lineage: Bacteria; Pseudomonadati; Pseudomonadota; Gammaproteobacteria; Vibrionales; Vibrionaceae. The record is from RNAcentral.
AUCUGAACCUUCGGGGAACGAUAACGGCGUCGAGCGGCGGACGGGUGAGUAAUGCCUAGGAAAUUGCCCUGAUGUGGGGGAUAACCAUUGGAAACGAUGGCUAAUACCGCAUGAUGCCUACGGGCCAAAGAGGGGGACCUUCGGGCCUCUCGCGUCAGGAUAUGCCUAGGUGGGAUUAGCUAGUUGGUGAGGUAAGGGCUCACCAAGGCGACGAUCCCUAGCUGGUCUGAGAGGAUGAUCAGCCACACUGGAACUGAGACACGGUCCAGACUCCUACGGGAGGCAGCAGUGGGGAAUAUUGCACAAUGGGCGCAAGCCUGAUGCAGCCAUGCCGCGUGUGUGAAGAAGGCCUUCGGGUUGUAAAGCACUUUCAGUCGUGAGGAAGGUAGUGUAGUUAAUAGCUGCAUUAUUUGACGUUAGCGACAGAAGAAGCACCGGCUAACUCCGUGCCAGCAGCCGCGGUAAUACGGAGGGUGCGAGCGUUAAUCGGAAUUACUGGGCGUAAAGCGCAUGCAGGUGGUUUGUUAAGUCAGAUGUGAAAGCCCGGGGCUCAACCUCGGAAUAGCAUUUGAAACUGGCAGACUAGAGUACUGUAGAGGGGGGUAGAAUUUCAGGUGUAGCGGUGAAAUGCGUAGAGAUCUGAAGGAAUACCGGUGGCGAAGGCGGCCCCCUGGACAGAUACUGACACUCAGAUGCGAAAGCGUGGGGAGCAAACAGGAUUAGAUACCCUGGUAGUCCACGCCGUAAACGAUGUCUACUUGGAGGUUGUGGCCUUGAGCCGUGGCUUUCGGAGCUAACGCGUUAAGUAGACCGCCUGGGGAGUACGGUCGCAAGAUUAAAACUCAAAUGAAUUGACGGGGGCCCGCACAAGCGGUGGAGCAUGUGGUUUAAUUCGAUGCAACGCGAAGAACCUUACCUACUCUUGACAUCCAGAGAACUUUCCAGAGAUGGAUUGGUGCCUUCGGGAACUCUGAGACAGGUGCUGCAUGGCUGUCGUCAGCUCGUGUUGUGAAAUGUUGGGUUAAGUCCCGCAACGAGCGCAACCCUUAUCCUUGUUUGCCAGCGAGUAAUGUCGGGAACUCCAGGGAGACUGCCGGUGAUAAACCGGAGGAAGGUGGGGACGACGUCAAGUCAUCAUGGCCCUUACGAGUAGGGCUACACACGUGCUACAAUGGCGCAUACAGAGGGCGGCCAACUUGCGAAAGUGAGCGAAUCCCAAAAAGUGCGUCGUAGUCCGGAUUGGAGUCUGCAACUCGACUCCAUGAAGUCGGAAUCGCUAGUAAUCGUGGAUCAGAAUGCCACGGUGAAUACGUUCCCGGGCCUUGUACACACCGCCCGUCACACCAUGGGAGUGGGCUGCAAAAGAAGU